CCAUGCGAGUCGGAGAAGGGUUCGGCCCUCGGCGGACUGCUCAGUAACACGUGGUAUAACCUGCCCUAAGGUGGGGCAUAACCCCGGGAAACUGGGGAUAAUACCCCAUAGGUUAGAGAUGCUGGAAUGCACUUUAACCCAAAGCUCCGGCGCCUUAGGAUGGAUCUGCGGCCGAUUAGGUAGUUGUUGGGGUAAUGGCCCAACAAGCCUGUAAUCGGUACGGGUUGUGGGAGCAAGAGCCCGGAGAUGGACUCUGAGACACGAGUCCAGGCCCUACGGGGCGCAGCAGGCGCGAAAACUUUACAAUGCAGGAAACUGUGAUAAGGGAACCCCGAGUGCCCGUAUACGCGGGCUGUCCAGGUGUUUGAAACGCAUCUGAAGAAAGGGCCGGGCAAGACCGGUGCCAGCCGCCGCGGUAAUACCGGCGGCUCGAGUGGUGGCCACUUUUAUUGGGCUUAAAGCGUCCGUAGCUUGGUUGUUAAGUCUCUUGG
This 491-nucleotide ribosomal RNA is filed under the name uncultured archaeon. Its description in RNAcentral is "bacterial SSU rRNA". It matches the Rfam family "Archaeal small subunit ribosomal RNA", at positions 49 to 545 of the family's 1478-position model. The record is from RNAcentral.